Molecule: unclassified non-coding RNA, 223 nt
Filed under: uncultured Thelephoraceae
Lineage: Eukaryota; Fungi; Basidiomycota; Agaricomycetes; Thelephorales; Thelephoraceae
Description: sequence contains ITS2
Source: RNAcentral
ACACCUCAACCUUCGUGGUUUGCCACGAUUGGAUUGGACUUUGGAGGUUUUGCUGGCCCCCCUGUGGUCGGCUCCUCUCAAAUGAAUCAGCUUACCAGUGUUUGGUGGCGUCGCAGGUGUGAUAACUAUCUACGCUUGUGGCCGUCUGCCAUGUAACCUUCAGUGAUGAGGGUUUGCUGGGGGCUCACAGAUGUCUCUCCUGAGCGAAGACAGCUUUUUGAUC